UUUCUCUCUCCUCCAAUUUCAAUUUCAAUUUCAAUUCCAAUUCCAAUUCCAAUUCCAUUGCUGGAUUGCUGGCGUGCACAGAAAGAAGACAUGGUUUUGUCACAGAAGAUUCACGAAGCAUUCAAGGGAACUGUUGAAAGGAUAACUGGGCCCCGCACUAUUUCCGCUUUCAAGGAGAAAGGUGUUCUCAGUGUCUCCGAAUUCAUUCUUGCCGGCGAUAAUCUCGUCUCUAAAUGCCCUACUUGGUCCUGGGAAUCUGGUGAGCCGAGCAAAAGGAAAGCUUACUUACCACCUGAAAAACAAUUCUUGAUAACAAGAAAUGUUCCUUGUCUCCGGAGGGCUGCAUCAGUGGAGGAAGAAUAUGAAGCUGCCGGGGGUGAAAUUCUACUUGAUAAUGAGGAUAAUGAUGGCUGGUUGGCUACUCAUGGAAGACCGAAAGAACCUAAGCCUGAUGAGGAGGAAAACUUGCCUUCAAUGGAGUCAUUAGAGAUCACAGAGAGUAAACCAAUACAGUCUAUCUCCUCAUACUUUGGAGGUGAAGAGGAUGAUAUUCCUGACAUGGCAGAGUAUGAAGGGCAGGACAAUGUCAUUGAGGCAGAUCCAGCAACUCUUCAGACUACAUAUCUAGUUGCUCAUGAACCUGAUGAAGAAAAUAUAUUGCGAACACGUACAUAUGAUGUUAGCAUUACGUAUGACAAAUAUUAUCAAACUCCUCGUAUAUGGCUUACUGGAUAUGACGAGUCAAGGAUGCUCUUGCAACCAGAGCUAGUGCUUGAAGAUGUUAGUCAAGACCAUGCUCGCAAAACGGUAACUAUAGAAGAUCAUCCUCAUUUGCCUGGAAAGCAUGCUUCUGUGCAUCCAUGCAAACACGGUGCGGUGAUGAAGAAAAUUAUUGAUGUUCUGAUGUCACGUGGGGUUGAGCCAGAAGUUGACAAGUACCUCUUCUUAUUUUUGAAAUUUAUGGCAUCAAUAAUUCCAACUAUUGAAUAUGAUUACACCAUGGAUUUCGACAUGGGAAGCACCAGUUGAUCACAGGUGGAUACAUGUAGUUCAGCUAGCAGAGUAAUCUUUCUUUUUCUUCCAUGGAAUCUCUUAACCUCCCAAGUUGAUGGUAGUUGCAAGAUCAAUGAAACCAUGUGAUUUCUCCGAUGAGUGAAAUUCGUAAUCUCAUCCAUCAGUAAUUAUAUAGCAAGGAUGAGGUGGGUGAAGUCUCAGUUACUCUGUACAUGCUACUACUACACUAUUGCUCUUUAACCUAAGCUUGCUAAUGUUGUGCUUGUGCACUUAUGCUGUACAGUUUCAUGUUGUCUUUGAGACAUUUCAGUUGUUAUUGGACUUGUGACCCUAGAAAAAGAAAAAGACUUGUGUUAUGUUCCGCAUCAAUUCACAAAGCUGUGAAUUUUAUUUUUAUGUGACUUUAACAGUUAUGACAACAGCGCAGUACGAAUCUCA
RNA transcript from Beta vulgaris subsp. vulgaris (sugar beet), 1452 nucleotides. It is a transcript of the gene named autophagy-related protein 3, with no coding region annotated. The transcript has 10 exons. The record is from RefSeq and is a predicted model, not a curated record. Lineage: Eukaryota; Viridiplantae; Streptophyta; Magnoliopsida; Caryophyllales; Amaranthaceae.